This 606-nucleotide ribosomal RNA is filed under the name uncultured bacterium. Its description in RNAcentral is "bacterial SSU rRNA". It matches the Rfam family "Bacterial small subunit ribosomal RNA", at positions 215 to 818 of the family's 1533-position model. The record is from RNAcentral.
CCGGUGGCGGAUGGGCAUGCGGCGCAUUAGCUAGACGGCGGGGUGACGGCCCACCGUGGCGACGAUGCGUAGGGGUUCUGAGAGGAAGGCCCCCCACACUGGGACUGAGACACGGCCCAGACUCCUACGGGAGGCAGCAGUGAGGAAUAUUGGUCAAUGGGCGGAAGCCUGAACCAGCCAAGUCGCGUGAGGGAUUAAGGCCCUGCGGGUCGUAAACCUCUUUUGCCGGGGAGCAGUGGUCCGGACGCGUCCGGGCCGGGAGAGUACCCGGAGAAAAAGCAUCGGCUAACUCCGUGCCAGCAGCCGCGGUAAUACGGAGGAUGCGAGCGUUAUCCGGAUUUAUUGGGUUUAAAGGGUGCGUAGGCGGGCAUUUAAGCCGGCGGUCAAAUGUCGGGGCUCAACCCCGGCCUGCCGUCGGAACUGGGUGCCUUGAGUGGGCGAGAAGUAUGCGGAAUGCGUGGUGUAGCGGUGAAAUGCAUAGAUAUCACGCAGAACCCCGAUUGCGAAGGCAGCAUACCGGCGCCCUACUGACGCUGAGGCACGAAAGUGCGGGUAUCGAACAGGAUUAGAUACCCUGGUAGUCCGCACAGUAAACGAUGGAUGCUA